GACGAACGCUGGCGGCGUGCCUAAUACAUGCAAGUCGAGCGAAGUUUUUCUGGUGCUUGCACCGGAAAAACUUAGCGGCGAACGGGUGAGUAACACGUAAAGAACCUGCCUCAUAGACUGGGACAACUAUUGGAAACGAUAGCUAAUACCGGAUAACAGCAUUAACUGCAUGGUUGAUGUUUAAAAGUUGGUUUUGCUAACACUAUGAGAUGGCUUUGCGGUGCAUUAGCUAGUUGGUGGGGUAAAGGCCUACCAAGGCGACGAUGCAUAGCCGACCUGAGGGGGGGAUCGGCACCACUGGACUUGGAAACCGCCCCAACCCCUACGGGAGGCAGCAGUAGGGAAUCUUCCGCAAUGGGCGAAAGCCUGACGGAGCAACGCCGCGUGAGUGAAGAAGGAUUUCGGUUCGUAAAGCUCUGUUGUUAGGGAAGAAUGAUUGUGUAGUAACUAUACACAGUAGAGACGGUACCUAACCAGAAAGCCACGGCUAACUACGUG
This 498-nucleotide ribosomal RNA is filed under the name uncultured bacterium. Its description in RNAcentral is "partial 16S ribosomal RNA". It matches the Rfam family "Bacterial small subunit ribosomal RNA", at positions 28 to 507 of the family's 1533-position model. The record is from RNAcentral.